UACGGAGGGAGCUAGCGUUGUUCGGAAUUACUGGGCGUAAAGCGCACGUAGGCGGGUUCGCAAGUCGGAUGUGAAAGCCCUGGGCUCAACCUAGGAACUGCACCCGAAACUGCGAAUCUUGAAUGCCUGAGAGGUUGGCGGAAUUCCAGGUGUAGGAGUGAAAUCCGUAGAUAUCUGGAGGAACACCGGAGGCGAAGGCGGCCAACUGGUGGUGCAUUGACGCUAAUGUGCGAAAGCGUGGGGAGCAAACAGG
This 253-nucleotide ribosomal RNA is filed under the name uncultured bacterium. RNAcentral describes it as "partial 16S ribosomal RNA". It matches the Rfam family "Bacterial small subunit ribosomal RNA", at positions 524 to 776 of the family's 1533-position model. The record is from RNAcentral.